UAGGGAAUCUUCCGCAAUGGACGCAAGUCUGACGGAGCAACGCCGCGUGAGUGAAGAAGGAUUUCGGUUCGGAAAACUCUGUUGUUAGAGAAGAACAGCGCAUAGAGUAACUGUUAUGCGUGUGACGGUAUCUAACCAGAAAGCCACGGCUAACUACGUGCCAGCAGCCGCGGUAAUACGUAGGUGGCAAGCGUUGUCCGGAAUUAUUGGGCGUAAAGCGAGCGCAGGCGGUCAAUUAAGUCUGAUGUGAAAGCCCCCGGCUCAACCGGGGAGGGUCAUUGGAAACUGGUUGACUUGAGUGCAGAAGAGGAGUGUGGAAUUCCAUGUGUAGCGGUGAAAUGCGUAGAUAUAUGGAGGAACCCCAGUGGCGAUGGCGACUCUCUAGUCUGUAACUGACACUGCGGUUCGAAAGCGUGGGUAGCAAACAGG
RNAcentral lists this ribosomal RNA (429 nucleotides) under Bacteroidota bacterium. RNAcentral describes it as "Bacteroidetes bacterium partial 16S ribosomal RNA". It matches the Rfam family "Bacterial small subunit ribosomal RNA", at positions 355 to 776 of the family's 1533-position model. Lineage: Bacteria; Pseudomonadati; Bacteroidota. The record is from RNAcentral.